Long non-coding RNA from Triticum dicoccoides, 9510 nucleotides. RefSeq lists it as uncharacterized. Lineage: Eukaryota; Viridiplantae; Streptophyta; Magnoliopsida; Poales; Poaceae. The transcript has 16 exons. The record is from RefSeq and is a predicted model, not a curated record.
GCCUGCCUACGACUACAGAGUACAGACUACGGCGGAUCGACUCCUCUCCCCUCAGAAAAUUACUAAUUCCCAUGCCUCAGCUACAGACAGCGCCGGAUCCUCUCCUCUCCGCUCGAGAAAAUAACUAAUUGCCCCUGCCUCACAGUGAUCUCCAGCCAAUCUUCAUGUGAAGGUCGCUCCUCACGUACGUCUGCUAGCCAGCGAUCCCCAUCAAAUCUCGGCUUGAAUCCCGCUCAUCCCGCAUGGCCACCGGUCUUCAUCGCCAUCGACACCACCCUGGGAGCUAGGGCGCAUGCCCGACCUUGGUUCCAUUGCCACGCACCCCGGCCCGGGUCGUCGAGGAGCAAGCCGAUUCAACCCAUGCGCAUGUUUGUCGAUCUCCUUAGGCAUGCCCUUUGGAUGCUGAGACUUGGGACGCGGGUUGUUCGUUGUUUAGUGGCCGGCCGCCCAGAUCCUUAGAUCAUCGAGCAGGGAACUAUCGAUGGAGCCUCUGUCCGCUAUUGUUCUGCUCCACGACCGUUGCCGGUGGCGAGGAGUCCGGCUUGAUCAGCGACGUCCCCCAUGACAACACCUUCAGGUUAAAUUUUUGCCUCGACUCUAAUGGAAAGCUUCUACUGGGUGAGGAUGGUGACCUACGAUCUAAGCUGGCCACACUUUGGAAUUGGAGGUACUGGACGAAUUGGAUGCCCGCCCAGUGAUCUUGGUUGUUCUUCCCUUGCAAAAUACACAAACGCCUCAGAUUUACACCUCCUAUAGGUUGAACUUCCUUAGGCGCUCGACGACUGGACACCAUGGCAGCCAUCUUGGUUGUUCAACCCAUGAUGUAUACCCAGGCGCUUCAGAUUUACCACUCCUGCCACACAUCUAUCACCAGCUGGUCCAUAUAGAGGAGGAGAUAAGGGCGUGGGGUGCUCUUCUUGGAAGACGGUUAGCGGAGCGUGGAAUUAUAGUCGCUUGCAUUGAUUAUAGAAAUUUGCCCCAAGGAACAAUAAGUGACAUGGUCAGUGAUGCUUUUGAGGCAUUUUCAUUUAUUUGUGAUACUAUUGCUAGCUAUGGAGGAGAUCCUAAUCAGAACUAUGCGCCGCACUUGAAUAUUUGAUCCUUUUGGGCGGUGAUUCUAUCCAAAGUCGUCGUUGUGACGUCGGUGAGCAACCUCGGGCACCACACUGAGUGCUACCGCCUCCCCACCACUCAUGACGCCAGGCUGUUCUACUUCUUCGAAUUCAGGUGGCACAAGGAGGACCCAGUGGUGAUCUGGCUGAUGGGAAGGCCCGGCUACUGCAGCGAGCUAGCCCUCUUCUACGAGAACGGCGCCUUCCACAUAGCAGACAACAUGUCGCUACUCUAGAAUGAGUUUGGUUGGGAUCAGCGACUGGUGGCGCUGGGUGCGCUUGCUUACUUUGUCGCGCAACUUCUUUGAUCACCGCGUAGAACCUGACCUGGGUGUUGCAGCUCUGUCCGUGGUGGUCUCAUGGAUGUAGUGGUGACACCUCUCCUAGUAUACAUGUCCAAAAUCAUUAUUUUGUGGGAAUUCUCGCAGACUUUGCCUUUGUUCCGGGAGGCGUGCAACGACGGCAUGAAGAACAACAUCGAGACCAUACGUUCGGUUUCUCUGUGCCCGCUCUGCUGCCAUCCACACCCGCACUAUCCCAGCUCGUGUGCCGGCUCGAGGAGAAGCUCAGGCCGCCACCACACAAAGGGAGAGGAACCCAAGAAGAAUCUAUCCCGCCUUACUGUCCAUGACCCGACGACAGAGACAGCUACUUCGAGCCUAGGCUCGUCGGUGGGGCAGUGCAAGGCGUAACUCCGACGUGGUUCCUCGCCGGUUGGACGGUGUUCAGGCGCAACCCGGUGCCCACUGAGUACUGCCUCGGCUACAACCUCCCUUGGUGAGCUCCAUCUUCCUCCUGCUCAUAUGCUUCGGCUACUGCAUUGGACAUGGCCGUGGCUAUAUUGAUGUGGUGCUCGUCUGGUUGAUGCUCUAUUCCCUGCUCAUGCAUCGGUUCCUACUUGAGCUCUUUAGUUGUAGAUGCAUGCUAUUCUAGGGUUUGCAGGCUGAGUUCAUGUUUGGUUUCUAUAAUAGGAGUUCCUGCGAUGAUCUGGUUUACAUGUGGAUGCUCUGUUUGUAUAGUUAUGCUCCUGGAUUUGCUAAAUUGACCAGUAGUGUUCGUGCUAGGGCGAUGAUGAUCAACCUGUCAGACCCAGGUGGUCUGAAGCAUGGAAUUCAGUAAAACAGAGACUGAACUAGUGGAGUUUAGCUUGAAUUUCAGAGGAAUGAUUAGCGAGUCUAGCUCGUUACAGAGGUUCUAGCCGACCAGGAACACUGGCGGCGGCAAGGGGGAAACCCUAACAAAAAAGAUACCUAACCUCGAUCCCAACUCCUGGCUUUAUAGCCUUACAAAGGGAAGGAAAAAGAAGAGCAAAAGCAAAACAGAAAGGAGAGAAACGUUGCGGUCUUUGCCGGAAAGGGAACAGCGACCUCCAGGGCAGUCCCCGCCACACGAUGAAGAUCGGACGCUCGUCGGGUCAUCAUAACUGGUGAAGCGGUACGACGACGUCUCGGCCGUGCGAUCGAAGAUGUGUGGCUCCUGACGUUUCCCGCCUGUUCGGACGGGUUUGAAUUAACUGAAUCCUAUUUGCAGCGAUCGGAUCUUCAGACAGAGGCACUCGGGUCCUGACAACUCCCCCCCUUCCAGAUCAGACCUGUCCUCAGGGCUGGAAAUUAGGAAACACUUUUUGUAUGAAUGUGGCGUCCUCCCAAGUGGCCUCCUCCAGAGGUAGAUUACUCCAUUUGAUGAGCCAUCGAACCACGGGGAUACUGAUGUUGCCUUGCACACGCGGUACCAGUUUGCGUUCGAGCAGUUGUUCUGGUUCUAGUAAGAUUGUUCCAUCCGGGUUGAGCAAGGGGAGCUUGGGGUUUGGAAUCGCCAUUGGGCCAAUAUGCUUCUUGAGCUGGCUCACAUGAAAAGUAUCAUCCAGUUUGCAAUCGUCGGGAAGAAGGAGCUUGUAAGCCAUUGUACCAACUUUCAGGAUAACUCUGAAUGGGCCAUAAAAUUUGGAAUGCAACUUGAGACAUCUAUGGAUAUUGAGAGUGGUAUGCCUGUAAGGUUGUAGUUUUAGGUAUACCAUGUCACCAACUUCCAAUGUUCUCUCAGAUCUCUUCUUGUCGGCGUAAUGUUUCAUUCUGGCUUGAGCCCUCAAGAGGUGUUCUUUAAUAUGUGCUGCGGUUUGUUCAGCAGUGAGUACAUCAGGGAACUGUUCCAGUUCUUCCACAGGAUAAAGAGCAGAUUCAGCAACAUAUGAGGAGGUCUGCCAUACAAGGCUUGGAAUGGGGUGAUCUUGAGAGCUGUGUGAUAGCUAGUGUUGUACCACCACUCUGCUAGGGAUAACCAGUUGAGCCACUUUUGUGGUUGGAUGAAAGCCAUGCAUCUGAGAUAAUUUUCCAAGCAUUGGUUAACUCUCUCUGUCUGACCAUCAGACUGAGGGUGGUACGAAGUGCUCAUGUGUAAUUUUAUUCCCAACUUCUUGAACAAGUCCUGCCAGAGCUUGCUAGUGAAGAUUUUGUCUCUGUCAGUGACAAUCACAGCUGGUAACCCAUGGAGUUUGAAGAUGUUAUCAGUGAAAGCCUUAGCUACAAUAUUAGCUGUAAUGGGGUGUUUCAUUGGGAUAAAGUGGUUGUAUUUAGUGAACCUGUCCACCACAACCAAAAUCAUGUUCUUGUUGUGAGAAGUAGGAAGACCUUCCAUAAAAUCCAUGCUUAUGUGGCACCAGGCAAAGUCUGGGACUGGCAGAGGUUGGAGCAGCCCAGGGUACUUGCAGUGUUCAGCUUUGUUUAUUUGACAGGUUGGGCAUUGUUUAAUAUAGUCAACAACAAAUUGCUUCAUGCCAGGCCAAUGGAAGAGAAGCUUAACUCUUUGGUAUGUAGCUCUUUGACCAGAAUGGCCACCAAGUUCAGAGCUAUGUAAAGCAGCUAGCAAUUUAGUUCUGAUGGUAUUAUCAGCUCCAAUGACAAUUCUAUUUUUGUAUCUGAGCACACCCUGUUGCACAGUGUAGUUGGGCACAGAAUCAGGGUUUAUAGUUAGUUGAGCUAGGAGAUCCUUGCAUAUUUGGUCAUUCUUGUAGCUGUCAACAACUUCAGUUACCCAGGCAGGUUUGACAGUAGAAGCAAUUAGAGCAUGAAUUUUGUGGUGCACCCUGGAAAGGGCAUCAACCACUUUAUUUUUCUUGCCCUGCUUGUACUCCACAGUGUAAUUGUAGCCAAGGAGUUUGACCAGAAGCUUGUGCUGAAUCCUCGGUAAGUUUUUGUUCUUGUAUAUAUUUUAAACUCUGUUGAUCAGUUCUAUUAUGAGAGAGGAUGCAGCAAAAUAAUGUUUCCAGUGCUUGAGAGCUUCAAUAAUUGCUAAAGCUUUCUUGUCAUAAGUGGAAUAUGCAGCUGCUCUAGGGCCAAUUGCUUUACUGAAAAAGGAAAUAGGUCUCCCCUCUUGCAUUAGAACUGCACCCAGUCCAUAGGCACAAGCAUCUGUUUCCAAGAUGAAAGGCUUGGAGAAGUCUGGUAGGGCCAACACUGGGGCUUGUGUCAUUUUGUUCUUCAGGGUAUUGAAAGCUUGAACUUGCUCUUGCCCCCAAGUGAAACUGUCCUUUUUCAGGGAGUUAAACAGUGGCCUGCAAAUGAGUCCAUACUUUUCCACAAAUCUUCUAUAGUAACUUGUCAACCCUAAAAAGCUCCUGAGCUGUGUGACAUUUUCAGGUUCUGGCCAUUGUUGUACAACCUGAAUUUUGACUGGGUCAGUUGCAACUCCAUCAGCCCUAAUAACAUGUCCCAAGUACUCCACCUGAGGCUGAGCAAAGACACAUUUGCUUGCUUUAAUAUACAGCUGGUGUUCCUUGAGAGUUUCAAAUACCUGUUGCAAGUGGAUUAUGUGCUCCUUCAUAUUUUUAUUGAACACCAAAAUAUCAUCAAAGAAUACUAGUACAAAUUUUCUGAGAUACUUGGCUAAGAUAGUAUUCAUGAGCAUUUGGAAAGUUGCAGGAGCAUUGGUUAAACCAAAGGGCAUAACCAAGUAUUCAUAGUGCCCACAGUGAGUGCUAAAAGCAGUUUUCUCAAUAUCCUCUUCCUUCAUUCUGAUCUGAUGGUAUCCACUUCUGAGAUCAAGCUUAGUGAAAACAGUGGCUCCAUGCAAUUCAUCCAACAAAUCCUCAAUAACAGGGAUGGGGUAUUUGUUUUUGAUAGUCUGAGUAUUGACCUUUCUGAAGUCAUUGCAAAGUCUCCAGGAUAGAUCUUUCUUUUUCACCAAAAUUGCAGGAGAGGAGUAAGGACUUGAACUAUCUUUGAUUACCUUAUUUUUAAUCAUUUCCUGAAUGAUAUUUCCCAUAGCUUCCUUUUGGUGAUAAGGUAAUCUGUAUGGCCUUUGGUUUAUAACUUUUGCACCAGAUUCAAAAGGAAUUGCAUGAUCAACAUUUCUCUUAGGAGGUAAAUCAGUAGGAGUUCCAAAAAUAUCCUUGUACUGACCUAGAAGUUCUUGGACAGGUAGGGGAACAACAGUGUCCUCAUGUUCUGUCAGAGCAAUUUUGUUUAGUAGCAACACAGCCCCACAGAUAGUGUCAUCAGAUAAGUGCUCCAUGCUGUCCAUUUCUUGAACUGGCUCACUGGGUAAGCUUUCAUCCUUGAAGAUUUUCUUUUCUCCUGAUUUCAGUGUGACUUGCACUUCCAUUUCCUCAAAAUCUAGCUGGACAGGACUAACAGUUUUCAUCCAAUCAGCUCCCAAUAUCACAUCAUAACCUUGCAACUGUAGGACUCGGAAAUCAUGGGAAAAUUUAGUUCCUUGCACCACAAAAGGGCACUGGGUGGCAAUGAAUUCAGUCCAUAGAGUUGCUCCAUUGGCAACUAACACUUUCUUUUUCUUAGUUGGAGUAAGAGCACACAGAGCCAGCUUUGCAAGUGCAGGAGUUACAAAUGUUGCGGUGCUGCCACUGUCAAUGAGGUCAGUUGCAGGUCUGUCUCCCAACAUGACUGUAACAGUGAAACUCAGCUUGGAGGAAGUGACUCCCAUGAGGGCAUGCAUGGAGAUUUGCAAGGGAGUGUCAUCCAAGUCAGUGGGAGGUGGAGCUUCAGUAUCAUCAGCAGUGUAGUAGACCAGUUCUGCAUCCUCAGGGCAGGUCUCUUGCAAGGCUUGUAUCUGCAUUUGAUUUGCCAAUUUGCAAACUUUCUUGUGGCCAGGAAACCAUGGUUCUUUGCACUGGUAGCAGAUUCCUUUCAUUCUGGCCCGUUGGAUGACAGUAGGUGUGUUGUUAGGAGGUGGCUUUCCUAGGUCCAACUGAAGUUGCCUUCUAACUGGCUGAUUAAUAUAAGCCACUGGUGUUUUCUUGCUGGGCUGAGCUUGUUCCAUUCUUCUGGCCAACCAGAUAGCUUUUUGUAGGUCUGCUGGUUCAUGACAUUGAACAUAAUGUUGGAUAGUGUCACUCAGACCAGCAAUGAAACUAGCUUUCUAAUAAUCAACAGGCAGUGCAGGGUUGUCCCUCCUGAGUAAGUUCAUGGACUGUUCAAACUUGAGCACAUAGUCAUUAACAGACCCAGUUUGGUUGAGAGCAUGAAAAGUUCUGACAUUGUCACAUACUGAAGUUUCGGAAAACCUGUCUCCAAUCAGUCUACAGAACCUGUACCAGGGUAGGGUAUUGGCAAUAAUUCCAGUUCCUCUCCACCACUCUAUUGCUGGCCCCUUUAAGUGACAGCAAUUUCAGUUUUCUGCUCCAGUGGUGUCCUAGCAGCUUCAAAGUACAUUUCAAUGGUUUGGAUCCAAGAGUCAGUUCCACUGCCAUCAAACUCCGGUAUGUUAUACUUAGCAGGUUUCACCAAAGUCAGAGGUCUUCUGUUGUCUUGGACUUGAUCUCUCUGUGCAUUGCCCCCUUUGCCAGCUAUUUGCUGAACCUGCUCCUCAGCUUGCUCUUGUUCUAACUGAGUGAUUUGUUGCAUGUUUCCUAUUUUAGGAAUUGCAGUAGUUGCUCUGGCAUUAGGUGGGAGAAGUUUGUUGUCCGCAAAGUGGGGGUGCCUGUACGAAAUUUUGGUGCUGCCAUCCAAGUUAAGUUCUUUUCCAGUGUGCUUAUCCACCAAAGUUACAGAGCCUGCAGUAGGAGGGGUUUGGAGGCCAUCGACUGGCCGAAGCACUGGGCCUUGUGGUGUAUGAUUUUGUCCACUGCCUUGAGGGAUAUCUUGGGAAUGGGUGGGGUUUCAUGUGGUUUUGGAAAUCUAGAGAUAAAUUUGUUAAGUGUGCCCUGUAAUUCCCCCAAAGACUUCUGCAUUGACUGGAAGUUGUCUUGCACAUGGUCCCUGAAGUCCUUGAAGUCCUGUCUGUCCUGCUCUCGAUUUCUCAUAGCACUUGCUGCAACCCGACCUUGACCGUAGAUCCUGCCGCCGCCUGCACCGCCGCCGUCAGCUACACUGCCGCCAAGAUUGUCCGGUGGGAAGUGAAGGAUUUUAUGGCUCCUCCAACUCCACCGCCGCCAAGCAUAGAAUUCAGUAAAACAGAGACUGAACUAGUGGAGUUUAGCUUGAAUUUCAGAGGAAUGAUUAGCGAGUGUAGCUCGUUACAAAGGUUCUAGCCGACCAGGAACACUGGCGGCGGCAAGGGGGAAACCCUAACAAAAAAGAUACCUAACCUCGAUCCCAACUCCUGGCUUUAUAGCCUUACAAAGGGAAGGAAAAAGAAGAGCAAAAGCAAAACAAAAAGGAGAGAAACGUUGCGGUCUUUGCCGGAAAGGGAACAUCGACCUCCAGGGCAGUCCCCGCCACACGAUGAAGAUCGGACGCUCGUCGGGUCAUCAUAACUGGCGAAGCGGUACGACGACGUCUCGGCCGUGCGAUCGAAGAUGUGUGGCUCCUGACGUUUCCCGCCUGUUCGGACGGGUUUGAAUUAACUGAAUCCUAUUUGCAGCGAUCGGAUCUUCAGACAGAGGCACUCGGGUCCUGACAACCUUGACUGAAAUAAGUGUGCCUUUGAGCAAUCGAGGCACCCGUGGGUAUCAAGCUGGAUCCUCCCUCUUGUCUCUAGAGUCCUUUUUGAUCCUGUGAUACUUGUUGUUCUGUCCUAGGAUGGUCAUUCUUGUUGAGUGAUAACCAGGGCAGCUCCAUUGUAUAAACAGAUUGAUCUAUGAUAAAAGAUGACGGGGGUAGGUUAUAUGAUCGAGGAAAGCCGAAUUUGAGCCCACAAUGCAAUGAACCCUGAACUAUUUUUAUUUGUACUUAAAGGUGUUACUUAUUUAUGCUCUGAUGGCUUUCGUGCUGGGGCGAUGAUGAUUAGCCGUGUCUGAAAUAAGUGUGCCUUCGAGCAAUCGAGGCACAUGUGGGUAUCAAGUUGAAUCCUCCCUCUUGUCUCUAGAAUCCUUUUUGAUCCUGUGAUACUUGUUGCUCUGUCCUUGGAUGGUCAUUCUUGUUGAGUGAUAACCAGGGAAGCUCCACUGUAUAAAAAGAUUGAUCUGGUGAUAAGAGACGGGUGUAGGUUAUAUGAUCGAGGAAAGUCAGAUCUGAGCCCACUAUGCAAUGAACCCUGGAUCCUUUUUAUUUGUAUUUAAAGGUGUUGCUUAUUUAUGCUCUGGUGUUUAUAGUCGUCUUAUGUAAAGAUUUCUUCUCUCUCAUACCUUUAUUGCAUAUGAGUUGUUCUUGAUCUUUUAUUGUUUGUUGUUGGUCCUUGAUUUAAUCUGGUUAAGAGUAAGCUGCACUUUGUUAUACUAGAAAGACAUGCUCCCAGCAAGUUAUAGGGGCCUCUCUUGCUGCCUUAAGUUUGUAUGGUAAAGUAUGCAUCAUGUGUGCCUCUGUUUUGUUUCCCUCUUGUAUUCCUAUGUCUUGCCUCACAUAUCAUGGCACUUGAUAUAUGCAUGGUUGUUGGCGAUCGGACGCCACCACCGCCGCCGAUGCCAUCGUGGCUCUUGCCGCCGUCAAACAUUAAGCUUGAGUCUCAGUUUGAUCUUACGGUUCUACGGCUCAAAGGUUGAUGACUGCCAUGAGGCACUACCCAGUUAAAUCUUCGUCCAAGCUGACAACAAUCCUCUUGGUCUUAAUUAUUUUUUCGAGGCGGCAGGGAUCAAAGAAUAACAGAUCUGGGUCUUCGCCUUCCAAGAUUAGAAGGGGGAAACCAUCGCUCACUGUCCAUAUGCUUUAAAAGCAAAUCUCAAGUGCAUUGCCUAUACAAAAAUAAUUUUGUGGUCAUCUAUAUCACAAACUAUUCACAUCAAGUUCAUAUGGAAUGGCACUCACGGAGGCAAUUGAGCCAAGCUAUCUAUUGUAUGCCUAACUAUGGCUUCGUAGUUUUAUUGCCUCCAUUGCCAUUGUUGGCCUUUUCUUUCUUAUGUUUCUGCUCAUAUUACUGAACUUAAUGUUAACUAAUUAGUUUUUCUAUUCGUAUGACCGUAGUGGAUGCUGCCUUGCUUCUGGCACGGGUUAACUUUGAUAGUCUCAUGCCCAUGUUUAACUUGAUGAUCGAUGUUACUCUUGUGGUACAUAUUGAAUGUUUCUUCUUA